Dermochelys coriacea (leatherback sea turtle) is the source of this 2807-nucleotide RNA transcript. It is a transcript of the gene named mitochondrial ribosomal protein L22, with no coding region annotated. The transcript has 11 exons. The record is from RefSeq and is a predicted model, not a curated record. Lineage: Eukaryota; Metazoa; Chordata; Testudines; Dermochelyidae.
GCACGACCGCCGGGCUGGGGCCACGGGCGGCGCUGCGCAUGCGUGGAGAGCAGCUGCUGUAAGGCGAGCCGGAGAAGAUGGCGGCGCCGGGGGUGGUCGGAGCUGGGGCUGCCUGGGCGCGGAACCUGCUCAGCUGGGCCCGGCCGCAGAGGUUACUAGCAUCUUGCAGUAUUUCUCUUUUGUCAAAUAUCCAAACAAGAACAUAUCGGCAGAAUGUUGGGAGAUGGGAGAAGAAGAACAGAAUAGUUUACCCUCCGCAGCUGCCAGGAGAGCCUCGAAGACCAGCAGAAAUAUUCCACUGUCGAAGGGACAUAAAAUACAGUAAGGACAAGAUGUGGUAUUUGGCAAAACUGAUAAAAGGAAUGUCAAUUGAUCAGGCUCUUGCUCAGCUGGAAUUCAAUGACAAGAAGGGCGCAAAGGUGAUCAAAGAGGUUCUUCUGGAAGCUCAAGAAAUGGCAGUGAGAAAUCACAACGUAGAAUUCAAAUCAAAUUUAUAUAUAGCUGACUCCUUUUCUGGAAAAGGCCACUAUCUGAAACGGAUUCGCUACCAUGGCCGAGAAAUGCUGUUUGCGCUUGGCCUGGAAUGCUUUGUGAUAAAUGGGGAACUACUGAAAUGGUGACACUGCAAAAGAGGGCAUGCAUGUAUCUAUUUGGCGCAUCCUGGAGGUUACAGCCAGAACUGGAACCUUCAACACCACAAGGCUGAGCAGCAGCUGAACAGAAAAUCUCAGGAAGAAAUUUGUCUUUGGGGGAUUAUCAGUGCAGUUUUGCUGACUCAUGUAUUUUUGCAGAAUGUGUGGUAAUCUCCAGUUAGCAUCUGAUUAAAAGAGGUAACGUGGUGUAGUGGAUUGGGUACUAGACUGGGAACCUGCUGAUCUGAUUUCCAUUCCUGGCUCUGCCACUAAACAGCUGGGUGCCUUUGGGCAAGUCACUUCAUUUCUGUGUGCCUAUGUUUCCCUUCGGUCUGUCUUGUCCAUUUAGAUUGUUGGUUCUUGGUGGCCAUGUGUUACCCUUACUAUGUGUUCGAACAGCACAAUGCAGCCCUGAUCUCAGCUAGGGACUCUAGACACCUGUUGUAAUAUAGAUCAUAAUCAUUAUUAAUACUCAGGAUUAAAUCUCACGAAACACCCAUUGACAUCACUGGGAGCUUUGUCUGAGUAAAGACUGGGUAAUAAGAAAGGGCCAAAUUUGGCUUGGCUUGCAAGGCUGAGCAUGGGUCUGUAAGGCCAGAUCGCAGGUAGGAGCAUUGUGCGGGGGAGAAGCGCCCAAGGGUCUGCUACAUAUCCACCUUGUGCAAGUGGGCAUGAGCAGGUAUGAUAAGGCAGGGAGUGGUCUCCACCCCGCCAAUAUACCAACUAGCAUAGUAAUGCUGGGGGAUUGCACUGCACCAGGCCUGCAGGAUGCUUCCUCCAUGGAGUAGGGGAAAACCAGAAGGCUGCUUGUGCUUCUCAGAGCCGCAGGCAGCUUCCUGAGGUACUUGUGGGGCGGUAUGGUAAUUGGCUGCCCCUUCCUUGGGGUUCAUGGCAAAGCAACAGCUGAGCUCUGAGCACAGUAAGGAAUUCUGGGGUUGGUCCAGGCUGAAGGGCAGUGAUGUUGCCAAGAGUCUGCUAGGGUAUCAGGAUGAGAUCGCCGGAGUAUUUUCCUCUGGAGAUGUAAGCCAGGAUUUAAAAGUGAGCCCUUUGUGGUAGAAAAGUAAUGUGCAUCUGAACCCCCACACAUGUAUUAAAAUAACUGGAUUUUUUUUUUAUUUUUUGUACCAGCUCCCACAUUCUCUGCUGUUUCCAUGUAGUGCUAAAUUGAACUCCAGGUGCGAUUGUAAAGCAUUCUAAGAAAGGCUUGCAUGAAAGGGGCUACAGAAAUGGAAGACAUUGUUGUGUCUCCGUAUUGUAAAUAAAAUCUAUUUCAGGUAGCCCAGCAUUCAGUUAUAGUCUAUCUGCAGAACAACUCAUCUUUCAGCUGUCUGUGAGAAAUAAAAUUAAAAGGAGAAAAUUCAGCAAAGAUGGUGAUGCAGUGACUGGAGGAAAAGAGCUGGACUCUGGAUCCAAGGUUGCGAAAGGCUGAUGAAAAUGAUGAGUUACGUAAUUAUGAGACCUGUUGCCUGCAUGGGUGGGAACUCUGGGAAGGAAGGUGGGGCAGUGGGAGGUAGGGUUGUAGGAAGUGACCAGAAUGGAGGAAGGGUGAAUGAUAUGGGGAGGGCGCUGUGGCAGUGGUGGGGGAGUUACGUCUUUCUCUAUUUAUAUCUAUAGCACCCAUCACCAUAGUUUCUAAGUGCUAGAUAACAAUGGCGAAUGUGUGCCAGGGAUUUCAGGGUGCACUAGGAAUGGGCCAGUGGCGAGUAGCAGUGAGAAAGGGGAAAUCCGGAGCAGUCAAACCAGAUUCAGCCUUAUAAGCAGAUCAUAGUCUAGACAAGAAAAAAGGUGACAAGAAAUGAGGUGAGGACCACGUGACAGUUCGACAUAUGUUGGCUGUGAUGUAAUAAACAUGAGGUUCUUUUGAUUUGUCUCAGAGUCUUUUCACGUUUUCAAUCUUUUCUCCCCAGCCAUGAGGGUUAGAUAACUACCUUUCACAAAAAGAAAACAGCACACGGAGCUUCUCCGGUCACCACCUGACUCUGGGGCCUGGGGUGAAAAAAAAAGUCACCAAAAUAUUGCAAGUCUUGCAAUAAAACCAUGAUUCUCCAGCAUGAAUUUCUCUCAAGGAUUGCUGGGUUCAGAAAUAGGACAGAUGAGCCCAAGAGAUACCAUGUAGAUUCCUUGACUUCAGCCUGACCUUCUCUUUCAUUAAGUCCAUGAAUUCAGGGGAAGGCC